UGAGUCUCAUAUCUGGUGAAUGU
Molecule: microRNA, 23 nt
Filed under: Cordylochernes scorpioides
Lineage: Eukaryota; Metazoa; Arthropoda; Arachnida; Pseudoscorpiones; Chernetidae
Source: RNAcentral